CUUAAAUGAUUUCUUCGGAAUGAAUUUAAAUGGAUUAGUGGCGAACGGGUGAGUAACGCGUGAGUAACCUGCCUUACACAAGGGGAUAGCCUCUGGAAACGGAGAAUAAUACCCUAUGAAACUAUCAUAUCGCAUGAAGUGAUAGUCAAAGUGUUAGCGGUGUAAGAUGGACUUGCGUCUGAUUAGCUAGUUGGUGAAUUAAAAGCUCACCAAGGCAACGAUCAGUAGCCGGCUUGAGAGAGUGUACGGCCACAUUGGGACUGAGACACGGCCCAGACUCCUACGGAAGGCAGCAGUGGGGAAUUUUGCACAAUGGGGGAAACCCUGAUGCAGCGACGCCGCGUGAUUUAGAAGGCCUUCGGGUUGUAAAAAUCUUUUGUAUAGGAAGAAAAUGACAGUACUAUACGAAUAAGGUCCGGCUAAUUACGUGCCAGCAGCCGCGGUAAUACGUAAGGACCGAGCGUUGUCCGGAAUCAUUGGGCGUAAAGGGUACGUAGGCGGGUAUUUAAGUUAGAAGUCAAAGGCUAUAGCUCAACUAUAGUAAGCUUCUAAAACUGGAUACCUUGAGAGAUGGAAGGGAAAGUGGAAUUCCUAGUGUAGCGGUGGAAUGCGCAGAUAUUAGGAAGAAUACCGGUGGCGAAGGCGACUUUCUGGCCAUUUUCUGACGCUGAGGUACGAAAGCGUGGGUAGCAAACAGGAUUAGAUACCCUGGUAGUCCACGCCGUAAACGAUGAGUGUUAGGUGUCUGGUAUAAACUGGGUGCCGCAGCUAACGCAUUAAACACUCCGCCUGGGGAGUACGCACGCAAGUGUGAAACUCAAAGGAAUUGACGGGGACCCGCACAAGCAGCGGAGCAUGUGGUUUAAUUCGAAGCAACGCGAAGAACCUUACCAAGUCUUGACAUAUUACGAAGGGAGUCUAGAGAUAGACCCUUAGAGCUUCGGCUCACUGUAAUACAGGUGGUGCAUGGUUGUCGUCAGCUCGUGUCGUGAGAUGUUGGGUUAAGUCCCAUAACGAGCGCAACCCCUCUUGCUAGUUACCAUCAUUAAGUUGGGGACUCUAGUAAUACUGCCGGUGACAAA
This 1082-nucleotide ribosomal RNA is filed under the name uncultured bacterium. RNAcentral describes it as "bacterial SSU rRNA". It matches the Rfam family "Bacterial small subunit ribosomal RNA", at positions 67 to 1162 of the family's 1533-position model. The record is from RNAcentral.